AUUGAACGCUGGCGGCAGGCCUAACACAUGCAAGUCGAGCGAGCGGCGGACGGGUGAGUAAUGUUUGGGAAACCGCCUGAUGGAGGGGGAUAACUACUGGAAACGGUUGCCAAUACCGCAAACCCUUAGAUUGGACCAGAUUGGAUUAGCUAGUAUGUGGGGUAACGGCUCACCUAGGCGACGAACCCCAGCUGGUCUGAGAGGAUGACCAGCCACACUGGAACUGAGACACGGUCCAGACUCCUACGGGAGGCAGCAGUGGGGAAUAUUGCACAAUGGGCGCAAGCCUGAUGCAGCCAUGCCGCGUGUAUGAAGAAGGCCUUCGGGUUGUAAAGCACUUUCAGCGGGGAGGCGUUACCCGCAGAAGAAGCACCGGCUAACUCCGUGCCAGCAGCCGCGGUAAUUC
Molecule: ribosomal RNA, 406 nt
Filed under: uncultured bacterium
Lineage: Bacteria
Description: partial 16S ribosomal RNA
Rfam family: Bacterial small subunit ribosomal RNA
Source: RNAcentral